CAAUAAGACAAACGUUUGUGUCCAUUACAGCACAAACAGUGAUCACACACAUACAAGAAUUGUUUCGCUGUCUUUGUUCUACCAACUCUCGUACUCUGAAUGACUUGCCGCAGUCAAUGAACCAUUCAUGACCGGCGCGUGCAUACUUAUAAGUUUUGCCACCCUGUGCUUUGUUUUUCGAAGAAAGCAUUCCGGUGUUUUCGAAAUUCAAGGCACGGUUUACACAAAAUAGCAGGUUGAUUACCUUAUCUUUGAGCAAAUGCUUAGGAUAAUGUGAUAAUAAAUAUGCUAAAGGAAAAGUGGUGUAUAUCGGCAAGAUGAAAAAUAUUUUCAAUGUUUUUGUCAGAUAUUUAGAACCUGCCAAAUAUCCAUUUCUCGUUUCUGUCAAAUUUUCCCGAUGCACUAAUUUCGAAAUCUAGGGGAUUAAAAGGGGUAUCUUUCUUACAUUAGCUAUCAAAAAAACCUAAAUUGAGCUUUUCGGUAUUUUACUGAUAAAUUCGCGAAGAUGUAAAAACCAAAGACGUCCCGCUUGCUCACAAUGUAUAUCCCGCUUCUUAGGGAAUCUCCUGACCACCGGGAAAAACUGAAGAAAUGUGCAGCUUUCAAUUGCCGGUUUACGUUUCCGGGUUACCGUUCUGAUAAAAAAAAGACCCGUCGAAAAAGCCAACGGACCCCCGAAACAAUCAAGCUUAUUUUCUUUAGGGAUGAGUAAUGUUCCCCAGUAUGAGAAUAUUCUCUAAUGACUGAAGACUUGAGGUGUAAUUUCCCUCCCUUCAGUAACCAGGACAUCAGUGACUGAGGUGGUUUAAAAGCCCCAACAUGGAUUCUCUUGGACAUAAAUUUCAGUGUCGAAAUAAUCUGUAUGCAAAGAGGUCGAAUUAUUUACCAGUACAUUACAACAAGAAAGAAAAUUCACAGCAAACUACAUUUGGCAAAUAUGUUGACAACCAAUGUAAUACACAUUCUAUUGGUGCUGUUGGCUGGAUGUGGCAUCUUUGCUAUUCCUUUGGAUUUAGCAGGGCAAGAAAAGCAAAGAAAGAUAACUGCAGGCUUUUUGAAAGGCCUGCAAGAGCCAACACAAAAAAUACUUUGCAACAUAAAUUUAAUAUCAAAGGUGGGUUUUUAUCAACCAAUUUAGUAUGUUAACAAAUGCAUUAAAUAACUACACUCUUUUUUAUAAGAACAAUUUCAUAAGAUUAUGAACAAAAAAACUGGUCAAAAGUUAAGAACAAAUUAAGAACAAGCUGAGGUUGAGCAUAUUGAAAAUUUAAUUUUAAACAACAAUUCAUCUCAAAAACGAUUAUAUCUAUUCAUGUGUAGGUGCUUUUUUGGUGAAUUUAAAACUUAUUAGGCAAAUGAAGGUUAUCUCAUUCCUUUUGGUGGCAAAUGAGGCCUGAAUACCUCCUUGGAGGGAAAAGCUAGCAAUUGCACUGUUUACACCCUAUUAAUUUAAGAACAAAUUUCAAUUCAAGAACAUGGGGAACAAUUUAAGAACAAAACAAUCCAGCCUCAGAUUUUCGAAAGAAUUAAGAAAAGUCAGCCUGAACUGAAAUUUACUGGUUCUUAUAAAAAUAGAGUGUACAUUGGAUAAAUACAGCAUACUAUUAACUGGCUGUUAUGUCUGUUAAGCAUUUAUGGGAUAAGUUUUUCUCAACAAGUUGAUCAUCUUUCAUCUACCUAUAACUGGCAAAUUACACUGUUAUUGGCAUUGCGAAGUAAGUAAAUCCAGGCUGAAAAGUUGUCAUGUGAAUGCGGCGGCAGUCAAGAUUGCGUCACUUGAAGAGCCUAAUUAACUUGGAGAGCCUGCAUGCUUGCAGAAGAAAUGUAUUUUCUUCAAGUUCACAAUUAUCAGGCACUGAAAUGUAGGCAAAACUUCAGUUGGGUCGUGGACGAAACAGUAAAGGGCUCUUGAGAGCCAAAAGCAAACACACGCUACUACAUUAACUACCUAUCUGAGAAACCGUAUCAUACUUCAAACAAGAAUUCGAUAAGAUGAAAACAACAAUUAAAAAAAAUUUAAAUUAGGUUCCACCAGCGAUAGGUCUACCGAAAUAAAACCAAGAAUGAUUUGUCAUAAAAAGGAAAAACUCAUUCAAAAACAAACUUUUAUAAUGGUACAUCGUUUGUCAAUUUGUGUCAAUACAGACCAACAUCCUUCUUUACUGCCAACUUUGGGUUUUCCCGGUCGGGUGCUGCGUGACUGUACGAGCUCAUCUCAUUGCUUUCUCUUUUUGAAUUUCAGAACACAGAUGUUCUUAAAAUCGACGCGAAAAAGGAUCAUGAUUAUAUAAAAAUAUACAAAACAGAAUUUAAAGACAAAUGCAACAAACAGUUCUUGCAUGUGGUGGAAGACUCACGCUUCGUAAAUGCCAUGAAAAUCAUCCAAGGCCUCGUGGGACUAACACAGGACAUGCAGAUAGCUGAAAGCAGAUUAAAUGUCUUUGAUGAGACUCCUCUCGUUAGGGACUAUCGCCAAAUUGAGUACGAUUUGCGAGAUCUUGUUGAAAGUGAAAUGCGAAAAGUGGCAUUCGAAAUUUUGGACCAUCAAAACUACCGUAACAUCCCAGCGUAUUCUGUCGGUGGCCUUUACGACGCAGACAAAACGAAGGCAGACACGAAGGAUACUGCCCGCUCUCGCAACAGAGUAAAACUGGAUCAAAUCGAAGAGUGCCUCAAGCUUUUCAUCGUCAACGUGCUGAGCCAGAAGCUUGAACUCUGCACAAAGUAGAAGGUGUAAAAGACGUUUAAAAUCCAAGAAUGAGAAGUCUUGUUCUUGCGGUGUUAUUUUGUGCAUCCCUUUGAGGGAGGCAUAAGAUUAAAAGUAAGCCGAUUAAUGGCUAUAGUUGCGUUAAAAACUUUCGUUCUAAAUUAAUUUUUGUUUAAAUUUGAUUCGUAUUUAUAUUAGAAAAGUAUUUAUAUUGCAAAAUGUAAUGAUAAUAAAUUAAAACUUUUUUUGAAAAUAGAUUUAUUUAUUCAACUUAUGACAAAAUGUAAUGUAUACUUAAUAUUAUGUAACUUGCGAAAAUUUAUAUUAAAGUAUGGUAAACUAUUUAUUUGAAAAGUUUUAUUACAAGUUUUUAAACCAGUGUAAUUCAUCUUAAAGAAAUAUUUAUUAUUAUUGUUAAGUUUCAUCGAGAGAAAAAUAAGAAACGAAACGAGCAUUAUUGGCCGAUUUCUACACACCUUCGUUGUUCUGUUACCUGCAAGAUACCGUUGUCUGAA
Non-coding RNA from Rhopilema esculentum, 3222 nucleotides. The record is from RefSeq and is a predicted model, not a curated record. Lineage: Eukaryota; Metazoa; Cnidaria; Scyphozoa; Rhizostomeae; Rhizostomatidae.